Molecule: microRNA precursor, 96 nt
Filed under: Nicotiana sylvestris (wood tobacco)
Lineage: Eukaryota; Viridiplantae; Streptophyta; Magnoliopsida; Solanales; Solanaceae
Also listed under: 1 other name
Description: MIR6152 microRNA precursor family
Rfam family: MIR6152 microRNA precursor family
Source: Rfam by way of RNAcentral
UGGACAGAUUAUUGUAUUCGAAUGUAUUCACGGUGUGAAACAGGAGAUUACAUUGUUUUUAAACGGAAAGUGAAUCAAUUAACAUAAUAGACUCCU